GCGCAGCAGGCGAGAAUUUUUCUCAAUGGGCGAAAGCCUGAAGGAGCGACGCCGCGUGGAGGAUGAAGGCCUUCGGGUUGUAAACUCCUGUCAUUUGAGAACAAGUGCCAACAAGUAACUACUGUUGGCUUGAUAGUAUCAGAAGAGGAAGGAACGGCUAACUCUGUGCCAGCAGCCGCGGUAAUACAGAGGUCCCAAGCGUUGUUCGGAUUCAUUGGGCGUAAAGGGUGCGUAGGUGGCGCCAUAAGUCAGGUGUGAAAUUUCGGAGCUUAACUCCGAAACUGCAUUUGAUACUGUGGUGCUUGAGGACUGGAGAGGAGACUGGAAUUUACGGUGUAGCAGUGAAAUGCGUAGAGAUCGUAAGGAAGACCAGUGGCGAAGGCGGGUCUCUGGACAGUUCCUGACACUGAGGCACGAAGGCCAGGGGAGCAAACGGGAUUAGAUA
Molecule: ribosomal RNA, 445 nt
Filed under: uncultured organism
Description: bacterial SSU rRNA
Rfam family: Bacterial small subunit ribosomal RNA
Source: RNAcentral